This 486-nucleotide ribosomal RNA is filed under the name uncultured bacterium. Its description in RNAcentral is "partial 16S ribosomal RNA". It matches the Rfam family "Bacterial small subunit ribosomal RNA", at positions 28 to 507 of the family's 1533-position model. The record is from RNAcentral.
GAUGAACGCUGGCGGCGUGCCUAAUACAUGCAAGUCGAACGCUGGAAAUCUAGCUUGCUAGAUUGAAGGAGUGGCGAACGGGUGAGUAAUACAUAAGCAACCUACCCACGAAGACUGGGAUAAUCUCUGGAAACGGGGACUAAUACCGGAUAGGUAAUCGGAAGGCAUCUUCUGAUUAUUAAAGGUUAAAAACACUGGUGGAUGGGCUUAUGGCGCAUUAGUUAGUUGGUGAGGUAACGGCCCACCAAGACGAUGAUGCGUAGCCGGCCUGAGAGGGUGAACGGCCACAUUGGGACUGGGACACGGCCCAGACUCCUACGGGAGGCAGCAGUAGGGAAGUUUCGGCAAUGGGGGAAACCCUGACCGAGCAACGCCGCGUGAGUGAUGACGGCCUUCGGGUUGUAAAGCUCUGUUGUAAGGGAAGAACGGUAGAUAGAGAAUAUCUAAAUGACGGUACCUUACCAGAAAGCCACGGCUAACUACGUG